GAUUCAUAUAGACUCUGUAAACCAAACUGAGAGAUGUUGAUCCAUGUGAACGACGAACGACGGCUGCUUCCUGACAUGUAUAUUAGUAUAUAAAAAUAUAUAGAAAAAACUAUUCAAAGUUAUGAAAAUUAUCUUUGAACGUGGAUAAAAUCAAAAUAUAGGAUUUUAUGUAUUUGAAAUUGCAAAAAAAAAAAAAAAGAUUGACGUGAACAUUUUUUGAAUUUAUUUUAUUUAGUUAUUUUUUUAAACAUUGCUUAUGUGUCAAGAUUCGAUUCGCCACGUGACUUUGUAGUUUGGUAUAUAAAAGAAUGGUUCCGUGCUACGCACAUUUUAUAACAACUAGAUGAUAACCCGCAUGCAUGCGCGGAGUGAGUGGUUUAUACUAAGUUUGUUCAUUAAAUGGUUUUAACAUUUUGC
This 417-nucleotide long non-coding RNA is filed under the name Brassica rapa (field mustard). RNAcentral's name for it is "long non-coding RNA (BRAP_LNC003510)". Lineage: Eukaryota; Viridiplantae; Streptophyta; Magnoliopsida; Brassicales; Brassicaceae. The record is from RNAcentral.